Stegastes partitus (bicolor damselfish) is the source of this 855-nucleotide long non-coding RNA. RefSeq lists it as uncharacterized. Lineage: Eukaryota; Metazoa; Chordata; Actinopteri; Pomacentridae. The record is from RefSeq and is a predicted model, not a curated record. The transcript has 3 exons.
UUUUUGAGAAUUGUGCUUUCUUGCUAAGCUUUAGAUGGAAGAACAAAAUCAUUCUCAUCUUUAUCUUGAAGAUAGAGCCGGCAGGUGAUUGGCUUAACUUAACCUAAAACUGGAAACGUGGGUAAACAGCCUGACCGCAUAUGUCUAGAGUUGAAAGAAAACCACGUUUUUACAUUGUGGUUGGUAUUCAGGUGAGAGACGAAUAUAUAUAAAGAGUUUGUGAGAGUUGGACAGACAUUAGCGUGGUACCUAAGUUCUCAUCUAAGGAAGCGAAUCAGCUAAUUUUCAAAAAUGUCAAACUAUUGCUUCAAUCUACUGUCAUAUAAUUCUGUGUCAACCGGUCAUUGUUUUGAAAACUGAUAUUUCUUGUAAUCAGGUAAAUACAUCAUGUAUGAAUGUGUAAUUUCUCCAGUUCUUACUUACUACCCCAAUCUAAAUGAAAACUUUUCUGUCUCCACUGAUUCUGCAGUCACUUGGGACACUCUCUCCCUAUUCUCAGGACUACGACAGCCUGGAUACAAAGCAGAGGCGAUGCUCCAGUCCAGGUUAUAUUGACUCGCCGACGUAUAGUCGCCAAGGCAUGUCGCCCAUCAUGCCCCGCUCUCCACAGCACUAUGGAUACCCUGGCUCUGAGAGUGGCAGGAGUUCACCUUAUUACGGCCAAGAGGGGCGGUCAAGCACACCCACCACAAACCAGCCCCCUAAACAUUUUCAUGUACCAGGUAGGAGUCCUCAUCUCCUCUCUGCACUUUUUCUUUUUCUUUCUUUUUUUCUCCUAAUCUCACGGAGAAGAUUUCAUCAGCCAUUACUCACUAAUGCAAAUCAUACAGAAAGGUUAUUUUAAGUUCCGUGGGA